AGUCUAGCCCUCUCUUUGUGUUGAGUGGGGGCUACUUUUCAUUGUGGUGCGAGGUACUCUCAUUAUGGUGGCUUCUCUCGUUGUGGAACAUGGGCUCUAGAGUGCAGCCUUAGUAGUUGUGGUGCAUGGGCUUAGUAGCUCCGUGGCAUGUGGGAUCUUCCCAGACCAGGGCUCGAACCUGUGUCCCCUCCAUUGGCAGGUGGAUUCUUAACCACUGCGCCACCAGGGAAGUUCCACUAACAAAAGUUCUUAUUGGUGAUCUUUAAUGGUAUAUUUUGUGGGUAGAGGAGACUAAGAGAGAGAAGCAGAGUCAUAGAAUUUUAGAGAUGGACAGAUUAUUAGACACUCCCUAUGUCAAGUGCUUAUUCAUUGGGCUAGUCAAGCCUACAAGAGACUGGGUCAGUGUAGUCCUGAGGGCCAGGCCAGACCUAAAGCAGCAACCCAAGAUAUCAGAUUAAGACUAGAAGCAAGAGGAGACCUUGUGGUGGAUGUUUCCAGCCUUCCAUUCUACCUCAUGGUUUUUGUUCGUCAGCCAGACUGCUCUGUAUCUCUGUGUAGAAUUCAAAGCCUGUGUUGCUAAAAUAUUAUGAUGUACUCUAGGUUAAUAUGCAUAAAAUCAAACUUGCAUAAAUCAAAUUUUGUGCAACUCAGGGAGCAUCUAUAAUAUAAAAGCUGAAGCGCCUCCAUGGGUUUCUAGUUAGUUUUCAAAGCCAAAGAUUUUAUUAGGCUACUCCUAAUAUCAUAAUUAUUGUGCCCAUGUGACUGACCUUUUUUAACAGCUGUGUUUUCCUUAGAAGUCUAGGUCUGCAAGACUUAACCUAAUUUUGGGAAUUCCCUGGUGGUCCAGUGGUCAGGACUUGGUGCUUUCACUGCUGUGGCCCAGAUCCCUGGUCAGGGAAAUAAGAUCCUGCAAUCCGCACCGCGCGGCCAAAAAAAAGACUGAACAUAAUUUGGCAGCAUCAUGGAGUAGGCCAUUCUCAUUUUACUCUAAUUUUUCAUGCUUCAGGGCCCUGGCAAGAAACAAAGUUCUGGGAAGGGGCCAUGCCACACUGAAACCAGACCUGAAAGGGAGAGGAUCUGUACAUCAGAUAGGGAAAUGAAGACUCAGAGUGACUAAGUAACUUGGCCAAAGUUAUAUAGACAGUAGACACGGACCAGAUCAUGAAGGGUCAUCAUAUGUAUCCUGUGGGGUAGACAUCUGGGAUAUCUGCUUAUCCAUGCCCCCUUCUCUGAAAAUUGUCUCUGACCUGCCUACAUUUUUCGUCCGGUUACAGUGUAUGGUUGAUUCCUGAUCCAAGCUGGGCAAAUCACACUGGUUCAGGAACAUUGGACUCUAAAGAUCAUGUGACUUGCAAGGCCGAAGACCCUAUUUGGGGGCAGCCAGUCCUGUUUAUUUUCUACUGUGUACAAAGUAUUGUUCUAAAUAAUAGGAAGACAGCAGCCAACUGAACAGACAGGAUUUGCAUACUGGAAAUAUUGUAGUGGACAAAGACAAGAAUCUUGCCAAAUGGAGCUUGCAUUCUAGAGUCUUCUGCAGAGUAACAGGGGAAGAAGCUGGUCUGCAUAGAACAGAGGAGGUCAUGCAGCUUAUAGCAGAUUAGAUCAUUUUUCUCAGCUCUUCACCUCUAUGUAUCCAUUCUCUUGCCAUGGCUUCUUGGUGAAUGGAGUAUACUUCCCUGUCCUUUGAUUUUGAGCUUGGCAAAGUCAUUUUGCUUUGGAUAAUGGAAUGUUAAUGAAGUUGAUGUAAGCAGUGUCUCAGUAUGCCAGUCUUUUUAGAGGCUGAAUAGUAUUCCACUGUAUGUAUAUGCUACAUUUUCUUCAUCUGUCAGUGGGCAUUUAGGUUGCCUCCAUGUCUUGGCUUUGUGAAGAAUGCUGCAGUUAACAUGAGAGUGAAGAUACCUCUUUGAGAUCCUGAUUUCAAUUCCUUUGGUUAGAUACCCAGAAGUGAGAUUGCUGAAGCAUAAGUAACUUAGCUAAGAGAAUAGUUAAUUCGUCCCCCACCCCCCAACUCUUCUCUUAAAAUAAUGAUAUUUUUCCAUUUUUGUCAGGAUAAGACUGAUCUGGAGCACAGUAACCCUGAUUGACUUGUCCCAAUAUUAUUGAGAUGUCACUUUCUGUUUGCAAACAGUGUAAACUCUCCAUUUGUGCAGCAUUCUGACUAGGUAUGACUAGGUUUUAUUUUUAAUUUUUUGAGGAACCUCCAUACUAUUUUCCACAGUGGCUGCACCAAUUUACAUUCUCACCAACAGUGUACAAGGGUUCCUUUUUCUCCACAUCCUCACUAACCCUUAUCUUUUGUUACCAACACUUGUAUAUGUAUAAUAGCCACCCUAACUAGUGUGAAGUGAUAUCUCAUUUUGGUUUUGAUUUGCAUUUCCCUGAUGAUUAAUGAUGUUGAGUACCUUUUCAUAUUCCUGUCGGCCAUUUGUACAUCUUCUUUGGAGAAAUGUCUAUUCAAUUCCUUUGUCAAAUUUUUUUUUUUUUUUUUGUGGUAUGUGGGCCUCCCUCUGCCGCGGCCUCUCACGUUGCGGAGCACAGGCUCCGGACGCGCAGGCCCAGCGGCCACGGCUCACGGGCCCAGCCGCUCCGCGGCACGUGGGAUCCUCCCAGACCGGGGCGCGAACCCGGCUCCCCUGCAUCGGCAGGCGGACGCGCAACCACUGCGCCACCAGGGAAGCCCCUGUCAAAUUUUUAAUCAGGUUAUUUGUGGGGUUUUUUUGCUAGUGAGUUGCAGGAUUUCCGUAUUUGAAUAUUAACUCUUUCUCAGAUAUAUGGUUUGGAAAUAUUUUUUUCCCAUUCCCUAGGUUGCCUUUUCAUUUAGUUUGUUUCCUUUGCUGUGCAGAAGAUUUUUAGUUUGAUGUAGUCCCACUUGACUAUUUUUGCCUGUGCUCUUGGUGUCAUAUCUAAGAAAUGAUUGCUAAGACCACUGUCAAGAAGCUUUCCUCCAUGUUUUCUUCUCAGAGUUUUUACAGUCUAGGUUUUACAUUUAUGUUUUUAUCCAUUUUGAGUUAAUUUUUGUGUAUGAUGUAAGAGAAAGGUUCAUUUUCAUUCUUAUACACAUGGAUAUCCAGUUUUCCCCAAUACCACUUACUGAAGAGACUAUCCUUCCCCCACGGUAUAUUCUUGACACCUUUGUCAAAGACUGUUUGUAUGUGUAUGGGUUUAUUUCUGGGCUCUCUAUUCUGUUCCAUUGGUCUAUAUGUCUGUUUUUAAAACAAUCCCACUUAUAAUA
Molecule: long non-coding RNA, 3232 nt
Organism: Physeter macrocephalus (sperm whale)
Lineage: Eukaryota; Metazoa; Chordata; Mammalia; Artiodactyla; Physeteridae
Exons: 3
Source: RefSeq, a predicted model, not a curated record